This 119-nucleotide ribosomal RNA is filed under the name Pteropus alecto (black flying fox). The record is from RNAcentral. Lineage: Eukaryota; Metazoa; Chordata; Mammalia; Chiroptera; Pteropodidae.
GUCUACGGCCAUGCUACCCUGAACAAACCCAAUCCCAUCUGAUCUUGGAAGCUAAGCAGGGUCAGGCCUGGUUAGUACUUGGAUGGGAGACCACCUAGGAAGACCAGGAGCUGUAGGUG